UAAAAGAUGGCUGAAUUUUAGGUGGUAGAUUGUAAAUCUAUUAAUGGGUUAGAACCCUCUUUUAA
Molecule: transfer RNA, 65 nt
Filed under: Lepas anatifera
Lineage: Eukaryota; Metazoa; Arthropoda; Thecostraca; Lepadidae
Description: tRNA-Tyr
Rfam family: tRNA
About the family: Transfer RNA (tRNA) molecules are approximately 80 nucleotides in length. Their secondary structure includes four short double-helical elements and three loops (D, anti-codon, and T loops). Further hydrogen bonds mediate the characteristic L-shaped molecular structure. tRNAs have two regions of fundamental functional importance: the anti-codon, which is responsible for specific mRNA codon recognition, and the 3' end, to which the tRNAs corresponding amino acid is attached (by aminoacyl-tRNA synthetases). tRNAs cope with the degeneracy of the genetic code in two manners: having more than one tRNA (with a specific anti-codon) for a particular amino acid; and 'wobble' base-pairing, i.e. permitting non-standard base-pairing at the 3rd anti-codon position.
Source: RNAcentral